Transfer RNA from Thermoplasmatales archaeon E-plasma, 73 nucleotides. It matches the Rfam family "tRNA". From Rfam's summary of the family: Transfer RNA (tRNA) molecules are approximately 80 nucleotides in length. Their secondary structure includes four short double-helical elements and three loops (D, anti-codon, and T loops). The record is from Rfam. Lineage: Archaea; Methanobacteriati; Thermoplasmatota; Thermoplasmata; Thermoplasmatales.
GCCGUGAUAGCUCAGUUGGGAGAGCGCCAGACUGAAGAUCUGGAGGUCGCUGGUUCAAUCCCGGCUCACGGCA